Molecule: transfer RNA, 73 nt
Filed under: Camelus bactrianus (Bactrian camel)
Lineage: Eukaryota; Metazoa; Chordata; Mammalia; Artiodactyla; Camelidae
Also listed under: 1 other name
Rfam family: tRNA
About the family: Transfer RNA (tRNA) molecules are approximately 80 nucleotides in length.
Source: Rfam by way of RNAcentral
GAGGGUAUAGCUCAACUGGUAGAGCGCAUGCCUAGCAUGCACAAGGUCCUGGGUUCAAUCCCCAGCACCUCCA